GAUAAUAAGAAAGAAUGGUUUAUCCCCCUCUUAACCCAACGUAUAGAGUUUCAGGAGUGGUAAUGCGAGGCUCUAAAAGGCUGAUAAGCCUUUAUUUGUGGACACCAUCCGUUACUGUCAAACUUCAUUCUUCCUUCUACUCAUCAAGCGUAUUUCCUAAAUCCCAAAUACCACUACAGCUGGAGACUCUACGAAGACAAUUCAUUAAAUAGGGUUAAACAUGAGGUGUACGAUCACUAAUUCCCCAACUGUCCAAGGAAAGGCACAUUCUGUGGUAAGGUACAUAUGUUUCACACUUACAUUCUCCAAAUCUUCAUCUCAACCAUUCCAUACUUACUCUUAUUGCUAUAUGCUAUCAACAGAUUGCUAGAUUCCACGACGCAGUUAGAAUGCUCAGGUGUCAGGCCACGGUGAGGUUGAGGAGCACCAUGAUGGCAUGUGAGUUGCCACGGUAAAGUUAGUUUUCAUAUUAUUUUAGCAAACUUGAAACUAAUGAAAAAAAUAUGUAUGUUGCAAGUGAAUGGUGGACCAUGUACGAAACUGACUGCGAGGUUUUACAGUAGUUGGUUAGUUGUUAGUGUGCUCGCACAAACAUUAUCCUCCUCACCCCGUGAAAGGAAUUAGAGCACAUUCUCCCUCAUCCACACAAAUAAGCGCGCAACAGACUGGGGUACGAGAUGCUUCAGAAGCUAGUGUAUUGUCACUACAAUAUAAAUUUACAAGAGAAGUUGCUCCGUGUCGAAGGAAGAAAAAAAAAGAA
Magnolia sinica is the source of this 760-nucleotide long non-coding RNA. RefSeq lists it as uncharacterized. The record is from RefSeq and is a predicted model, not a curated record. NCBI's taxonomy places the organism in Eukaryota, Viridiplantae, Streptophyta, Magnoliopsida, Magnoliales, Magnoliaceae. The transcript is spliced from 2 exons.